Molecule: ribosomal RNA, 441 nt
Filed under: Triticum aestivum (bread wheat)
Lineage: Eukaryota; Viridiplantae; Streptophyta; Magnoliopsida; Poales; Poaceae
Description: partial small subunit ribosomal RNA
Source: RNAcentral
AUGUCUCUGGGUGUGCUGAGCUGGAAUGUGAGGGGGUUGAAUAACCCCGCGAGGCGUUCGUCUAUUAGACUUUUUAUGCAAGCCUGUAAUGCUGCUCUUGUUUGUCUUCAAGAAUCUAAGCUUGAUAGUGUUGAUGCGUCGGUGGUUUGUAAUACUCUUGGGCCAGGGUUCGGUGGUUUUGAGGCUCUGCCGGCGGUGGGCACCCGAGGGGGCAUUUUGAUGGCCUGGAAGCCUGACGUGCUACGUGUCAUGGUUGUUCACAGAGGCAAGUUCUCGAUUACGGCCAAUGUUCUGUCUCUGGUGGAUGGCAAGGCUUGGAUGGUGUCCUCAGUGUAUGGGCCACAUGCAGUGGAUGACAAGGUGAGGUUUUUGCAGGAGAUCGAGCUCAUUGGGCAGCAGGUGCAACUCCCUUGGAUCAUCAACGGGGAUUUCAACCACUAG